This 253-nucleotide ribosomal RNA is filed under the name uncultured bacterium. RNAcentral describes it as "partial 16S ribosomal RNA". It matches the Rfam family "Bacterial small subunit ribosomal RNA", at positions 524 to 776 of the family's 1533-position model. The record is from RNAcentral.
UACGUAGGGUCCGAGCGUUGUCCGGAAUUAGUGGGCGUAAAGAGCUCGUAGGCGGUUUGUCGCGUUGUCCGUGAAAACUCACAGCUCAACUGUGGGCGUGCGGGCGAUACGGGCAGACUAGAGUACUGCAGGGGAGACUGGAAUUCCUGGUGUAGCGGUGGAAUGCGCAGAUAUCAGGAGGAACACCGGUGGCGAAGGCGGGUCUCUGGGCAGUAACUGACGCUGAGGAGCGAAAGCGUGGGGAGCGAACAGG